This is a long non-coding RNA of Diabrotica virgifera virgifera (western corn rootworm), 397 nucleotides long. RefSeq lists it as uncharacterized. The record is from RefSeq and is a predicted model, not a curated record. The transcript has 2 exons. Lineage: Eukaryota; Metazoa; Arthropoda; Insecta; Coleoptera; Chrysomelidae.
UUUAAAAAUUGGUUUGCGCUCGUUAUGUAAUAGGCAACCCUAUUUACAUUGUAUCAUCUCUUGUGUUCCAUGUUCGUGAUUUCAAAUUUCGUCCAAGGUUCGUUGUCAUGUCAUUUUAAUGACAGUGACAACCCCCAUAUCUCAUUCUCAAAAUGGAAGUGGAAAUGUUUUAAAAAGCAGAGUAGCUCCAAAAUUAAAUCAUUUUCAUUUCAUCAAAUCAUCUCUUGGGUUUUUUGGAAAGAGAUCAACCUUUCCCUCUUCGGGAACUUAAGCCUCACAUCACCGGUGAUGCACACUUGAAGGCGAAGACAAUGACAUCCAGACUGCACAACCACCACCUCUAGCUGCAGGGGCCUUGGGCCGAAGAUCCGCCCAGGCCUACGAGAAGUCUACAACA